UUUUUCUUUUUCACCUGUCAAUUUAGUUGAAACUUUUUUGUUAUUUUAGCCCACAAAGUGACUGAGCGUCUGGGUAUCAUAUGACCAUGACAUGGGGCCCAAGUUAUAGCCACACUGCUUUCUGCUGAGGUUGGCUUGAGAAAGAAUUUCAACAGAGAAGAAAUCUCUCCUCUCCACUGAAGAGGAAUAUUUUGUGCGUCCCACAAUGGCAUUAGGUAUACAUUCUCCAUUUUAACAAACCAUUUUUCCAAUGUUGUACUGCCUGUUAAGCCAGUCAGCAUUAGUUUAUUGUUCUCCCCAAAUUUUAAUGGUGUGAGAACUAGUAGAAACAAGCUCUAGAGAACAGGCUUUAGUUUGUACAUUACCUGGGAAAAUGUCACAACAACCAGAGCAUUAUUAUGAACCUCACAACACUGACGCUGGGGUGAAGGGCAAGACCACAACCAGAACACACUGGGAUAUGUUGUCUCCUAGGUUAAGGAUUUCAUUUUUCCAUUCUGAUUUUUUUUCUUAUAUUUCAAGGUUAUUACCUAUAUGCUAUUUAAAGUUCAAAUAUUCUUUUAAGAUUAUUUACUUCUUCAUGAGAGAAACGCAGAGAGAGGCAAGACAUAGGCAGAGGGAGAAGCUCCCCAUGGGGAGCCCAAUGAGGAACUAGAUCCCGGGAAAUCAUGCCCUCAGCUGAAGGCAGACACUCAACCACUGAGUCACCCAGGUGCCUCUAAAAUUCAAAUAUUCUUUUUUUUUUUAAGAUUUUAUUUAUUUACUCAUAAGAGACACAGAGAGAAAGAGAGAGGCAGAGGGAGAGGCAGGCUCCAUGUAGGGAGCCUGACAUGAGACUCGAUCCCGGGUCUCCAGGAUCAUGCCCUGGGCCGAAGGCAGCGCAAAACUGCUGAGCCACCAGAGCUGGCCAAAUUCAAAUAUUCUAACAUAAAAUUUGUUUCUCUUAUAUUUCAUCAACUGUUCAAAAGCAUGUUUACACAUGUUUUUAAAACAUGUUUAUUUAGAGAGAGUCAUGCUUUGUUAUAGACCUUGAGGGUCUUGUUUUGUUUUUGAGAGGUGUAGGAAUAGCACAUUUCUGUUUAUGUAUUCCUUGGCUUGCUUUUUUUUUUUUUUUUUUUUUUUUUUUUUUGGCUUCCCUAAGUGACUUUCUUUUGUUUUGUUGUUUUGUUGAGGAAAAAAAUGUAUGUCUUCACAGUUAACAGCUUCUAGCUUGAAUUGAAUUGAACAGCUUCAUCUUUGAAUUGAAUCAAUUUCUACUCUGUCCUCCUCUGUUCUAUGCUUUGUUUGGCUUGAGGGCUAUUUUUGACUUAUGGAUGACAAUAUGGGAAUUUUUGUAAUUGAACUCAACAGAUUGGUUCCAAUGUUUCUUAUAUUUCAAAUUUCACUUCUUGGUUUUCAUGACUGCUUGACUGGAGCACAUCUUGAAGUAACUUCCUCAGGAAGAAUGAGUAGAAGAUAAGUUUUUGAGUUCUUGCAUUUCUGCAAUUACUUCACAGUUUACCAAAAGUUUGCGUGUGUAAUUCUACUUUCAAAGUCACUACCUUUCAGAAUAAAGGGACUGUUCCAUGGUCUUUGCAGUGCUACUACUAAGAGAUGAGAUGCUUCUGUGAUUCUUAAACCUGUCUGAUGGUCACUUCUACGUUUCUGAAAAACUUUAUGAAACCGAGGAUGAUUCAUGUCUCUAUACUGAAGUAGGGAGUUUUAUUCCAUCAGUUCUUUAUAAUUUGGUAGGAGAUUUGAAAAAAAUAAGAUAGAUCUUAUAAGAGACCUAAAAAUGGUUUUUGUUAUCCUGGUUUCCUUCUGUUGUUGUUAUCCUAUUUUUAAUAUACAAGGGUUCUGUUUCAAUUUCUUAGUUUUCCUCCUCUUGAAGUGUGAUUCUUUGAGUCAGGCUUUAAAAGGAGAUAAUAUUUCAAUUAAUCAAAUUUGGAGCAUCUCUAUCUCAAUAAAGAAAUUUAGUGCAAAAUCACCCUAAUUAAUAUCAUAAUAUUUUAAAUAAUUUUUAAAAGAUUUAUUUAUUUUAGAAAUAGAGAUAAAAAGAGAGGGUGUGAGCAAGUAGGGAGACGUGAAGAGGGAAAGAAACAAGUAGACUCUGUGCUGAGUGCAGAGCCCAACACAGGGCCUGAUUUUAGGACCUGUGAGAUCUUGACCUGAGUCAAAAAUCAACUGAGCCACCCAGGCACUCCUAAAUAAAAUAAUUUUACAUGUUAAAUAUUUAUCAUGAACUAAUUCCUUCAUGGCAUUUAGUAAUCCUCAUAAAGUAAUAACAAUCCUCACACUGUUUUUAUGUACAUUUUUAUUCUUUGAAAGCAAUCUUGUUAUUUAUAAUUCAUAUAAAAUUAUUAGUAGAAAUUAAUCAUUUUUUUAAUAGAGAGGCAAAUCAGCAUGCUGAAUGAAGGUUUUGUUGAUAUCACUCAGUGUAAUAUACACAAACUUUUUGAGUUAUAUUUUACAAAUGGGAAGCAGUCUGAGCGCUGGCAAGUAGUCUGCACAUCAAAUGUGAUAAAGCCAGGGCUUGCACUCAGGUUUGUCUGGUUCUAAAAGCUCAUGUCUCUCCCAUAACACUACACUGCAAAGAAUUUAGAAGUUUCAAUGGCAUGAAAGAUUAAGGUGAAUAUUUUGCCUGGAAAACACACAUUCUUGUAAUACAAACAAACUGUAGUGGGAAAGAGAACUAUAAAAGUCAGCAUAUUUAUGCAAACAUCUUCAAAUUAAUCCAAGCAAUGCCAUUGUUUAUUGCAUGGCACGUCUUUGUAGAAUACUUAUGAAAUGGGAAGACAGAUCCUUGCUUAUUUGUAAUGGUCAUAUUUUCCAGCUUCAAUAUUUAGCAUUAGAAACUUGUUUUAUUGGCUUUAUUUUGCAGUACUGUAUCAUUCUCCAUGACAUCCAGAAUGAAUAAUUAAACAGGUAACUGUGAAACACUACAGAAAUUAAUUUUAAGAGGACAAAUGGGAUCAGGGAACACAGCAUACACUGCAUUUUACUGAAAACACCUUCAGCCAUUACACUAAAUAAUCCAUGUCACAUCCUCUGGUAAUUUCCAGGGUGAUUUCCUUUUGCCAGAAUGAAUUAUUUUUGCCACUAUUUGGAGUAACAGCAUACAAGGGAUAUGCAUUAAUGGUGAGUUUACUUUUUCAAAUAGGAGGGGAAUAGUUAGGAUUCUAAGGAAAUCUCCCAAAUGAUGGCACCUUGCCAUGACAUUUAUUCUAAAAAGCAGCUGAGAGAGAGGGGAACAGCUCCUGCUUUAUAGACAUAUAGGGCAACAGUUCCAGAUAUCCUUAAAGCAGAAGCACAGAUGGAAGGAGAGAAAUUAUAGAUGGGAAUGGGGAAUGAACAAGAGCCCAGUUACUUGAAUGAAGCUGGUUAAACUUUACAGAGACUGGCAGUUACGGUAACAUGAGUGUCCCAAACCAAAUUGUUUUCUUUGACAGCACCAAGAAGCAUACAUUUCCUAGGAUAAUUGCAUCCAGGUAGGAACCUCAUG
Molecule: long non-coding RNA, 3481 nt
Filed under: Canis lupus familiaris (dog)
Lineage: Eukaryota; Metazoa; Chordata; Mammalia; Carnivora; Canidae
Description: lncRNA (ENSCAFG00845030539.1)
Source: RNAcentral